RNAcentral lists this ribosomal RNA (496 nucleotides) under uncultured bacterium. RNAcentral describes it as "partial 16S ribosomal RNA". It matches the Rfam family "Bacterial small subunit ribosomal RNA", at positions 29 to 507 of the family's 1533-position model. The record is from RNAcentral.
AUGAACGCUGGCGGCGUGCCUAAUACCUGCAGGUCGAGCGAACAGACGAGGAGCUUGCUCCUCUGACGUUAGCGGCGGACGGGUGAGUAACACGUGGAUAACCUACCUAUAAGACUGGGAUAACUUCGGGAAACCGGAGCUAAUACCGGAUAAUAUAUUGAACCGCAUGGUUCAAUAGUGAAAGACGGUUUUGCUGUCACUUAUAGAUGGAUCCGCGCCGCAUUAGCUAGUUGGUAAGGUAACGGCUUACCAAGGCGACGAUGCGUAGCCGACCUGAGAGGGUGAUCGGCCACACUGGAACUGAGACACGGUCCAGACUCCUACGGGAGGCAGCAGUAGGGAAUCUUCCGCAAUGGGCGAAAGCCUGACGGAGCAACGCCGCGUGAGUGAUGAAGGUCUUCGGAUCGUAAAACUCUGUUAUUAGGGAAGAACAAAUGUGUAAGUAACUAUGCACGUCUUGACGGUACCUAAUCAGAAAGCCACGGCUAACUACGUG